GAUGAACGCUGGCGGCGUGCCUAAUACAUGCAAGUCGAGCGAACGGACGAGAAGCUUGCUUCUCUGAUGUUAGCGGCGGACGGGUGAGUAACACGUGGAUAACCUACCUAUAAGACUGGGAUAACUUCGGGAAACCGGAGCUAAUACCGGAUAAUAUUUUGAACCGCAUGGUUCAAAAGUGAAAGACGGUCUUGCUGUCACUUAUAGAUGGAUCCGCGCUGCAUUAGCUAGUUGGUAAGGUAACGGCUUACCAAGGCAACGAUGCAUAGCCGACCUGAGAGGGGGAUAGGCCACACGGGAACUUAGACAGGGACCCUGCGCCUACGGGAGGGCGCAGGAGGGAAUCGUACGCAAUGGGCGAAAGCCUGACGGAGCAACGCCGCGUGAGUGAUGAAGGUCUUCGGAGCGGAAAACUCGGUUAUGAGGGAAGAACAUAUGUGUAAGUAACUGUGCACAUCGUGACGGUACCUAAUCAGAAAGCCACGGCUAACUACGUG
RNAcentral lists this ribosomal RNA (497 nucleotides) under uncultured bacterium. RNAcentral describes it as "partial 16S ribosomal RNA". It matches the Rfam family "Bacterial small subunit ribosomal RNA", at positions 28 to 507 of the family's 1533-position model. The record is from RNAcentral.